RNAcentral lists this ribosomal RNA (112 nucleotides) under Candidatus Sphingobacterium stercoripullorum. Lineage: Bacteria; Pseudomonadati; Bacteroidota; Sphingobacteriia; Sphingobacteriales; Sphingobacteriaceae. The record is from RNAcentral.
UAGGGUACCUAUUUCGGUGGUAUUCACCUCUUCCCAUUCCGAACAGAGAAGUUAAGCCCACCAGAGCCGAUGGUAUUGCCGUAACAGGUGUGAGAGUAGGUCGGUGCCCAAC